CGAACUUACUUUAGUGCUGCCGGGAAAUGGACCUAAUUCCUCCUUCUCCUACCACAGAGCUGUUACCCCAGCUCUGCGUGCUCCUUCCUGCCACUUAACCCCUAGGCCCUGGAGAGCUGGGGACUGAACCCAGGAUCUUGUGCUUGCUAGGCAACUGCUCUACCACUGAGCUAAAUCUCCAACCCCAAGGAACAGAAUCUUUAGAAGUCACUGUGCACACUGAGCUGGCAGACAGAAACCUAUUUCUCUCAAAGACCUCUGAGAGAAGCAAUUAUAACCUUGUUCUAGAAUCUUAUAGAAAGUACCUGAAAUCUUUUUCCCUCACAAAGCUAGCCUUUUAUGUCUAGAAUGAAAGUCAUUGUUUAUGGUGCUAACUGUCUCUGAAUACUGACAAUUAAGCAAGAGCGGGGGAAAGCAGGUGACAGGCCAGUCACCAACAGACCUCCAUCAAGAAAGGACACAGUGGAUUGCUGUCUUAAGACAUAUGGGGGUUGGGGAGUCACAAAGUACUUACUGAUGUAUAUGCCCGACUACAGAUUGUGCAGGUAUAAACCUUGGCGUGCUUCACUGUGUGUGUAGAUAAAUGAGCCUCUAGUGAGGCUGCGUCUGUGUAUGCUCGGUGACAGUUGUGGCACUUGAAGGGUUUAUCUUUGUUGUGCUGCCGUCUGUGAGACUGCAAACCAAUGAGAGAAACCAAAGUAAGUACUGACUCUUCCUUGGCCUUUAUAGAGAGACAGCCCCAAGGUGAGCAUAGACCAUCCUCGCUUCCCUUUCUACAGGAAACAGUAGAGACUGCUUUGAAUGAAACUUUAGGAGUAGUGACUAAGAGAGGAAAUGUUAUCUCAAAUGGUACAUGUCCUUUCCAGGGGUUCACAGAAUCAACUCUUCAAAAUAUUGAGCUAAGGGCUGAGGAAAGGAUUCAGUAGGUAGAGUGCAUUAACAACUGUGCUUAGACCCUCAGCAUCCACGUAAGAGUAGGGUGAGGUGUUGUGGAAACAGGAAGACAGACCCCUAAGGCUUACCGGUCUAGUCAAAAAAAUGGUGAGUUCCAGAUUCAGUAAAAGAUACUGUGUCACAAAUAAGGUGGAGAGCUAUAGAGGCAGACAUCCAGCUACAGCCACACUCAAGCAUAAUAGCCACAGCUGUCUACACACACAGGGGACCAGGUGUGCCUCUGCGCUCUUGCUCUCUCACACUACAGAUCGGCUGUAUCAGGUGAGAGGAAUCUGUUCACAUUCAGCUAAGCCACAGACCUUGCAAAAAUCCUGGGCAUAGCAGCACAUGCCUAUAAUGCCAGCACUUAGAAGGCUGAGGAGUUAGGAUGGCAGGUUCAAGGCCAGCCUGAGCUACAUGCACGGCACACCAUUUUAAUAACAAAACCACAAGGAUUGCAUGUGUAGCUCAGUGGUAGAGUGCUUGCCUAGAGUAGGCUAUGAAAAACAAAACAAAACCAAAACAUGAAAAAUAUGCCAUAUUUCCCAUUGAGUGCCUUUGUGAGAUUGGGGAUAUCAAUGUUCUAUUAAUGCUACCAUGGGAUUGGCUCAUAUAUUAGGAUUAUGCUUUGUUUUGUUUUUGAGAUGGGGUUUCAUGUAGCCUAGGCUGUGUUUUUGUUUUUUUAAUAUUUGUGCAGGCCAGCCUGGUCUACAGAGCAAGUUGCAGGACAGCCAGGACUACCUAUCUCAAAAACCAAACCAAACCAAACCAAAAAAACCCAACCUCCAUCCCCCCUGCACAAAAAACAAAAACAAAACAAGAGGCCCUCAAAAAUGAGUAUUUGUACAGGUGCCUUGGGGGUUAGAAGUAGCACUGGAUUCCCUGGAGUAGAGUUAGAGGUAGGUAACUGUAACAUAAUCCUAGGACCUCUGCAAAAACAGCAAAUGCUCUUAAGUGUUGAAUGCUAUUUUCUUUUUUUUUUGUUUCUUGUGUCUUGCUAUGAAGUCCAAGGGAGGCUGGUCCCAGGCACAUGUCACUAUUGCCAUUACCUGAGGGUUUGGGCUUUUUGGUUUUAUUUUUUUAAAUUUGGUAAUUGUACCAGGGACUGAACCUAUGGCCUGGUACAUGCUCUACAAUAACUAUCAGUGAGCUACAGAACUGGUCUUUCUCCUUUCAUUUGUGUGUGUACGUUUGUGUCCCAGACUGUGCGUACAGGCAUAAAUGCAUUAUGUGUGGGUGUGCGUACUUGCCAUGGUACAUGAAUAAAAGAUAAUGGACACCUUCUGAGAGGGUUCUCACCUUCCAGUCAAUGUUGGCUGCAAGGGUCGAACUCAGAUAGUCAGUCAGGCUUGUACAGCAAGUAUGUUUCAGAUUUGAGCCAUCUUAUCAAUCUCCAAUUCUUAAAAAUAACCCUUUUGGGUGUUUGUUCAGAUGCACAUGUGUACACAUGCAUUUGGAGGCCAGUGACAACUUUGGUAUCAUUUCUCAGGAGUCACCCACCUUAUUUUCUUAGACACAGUCUCAGUGGCCUGUGGCUAGCCCAUUGCUUAGGCUGGCUAGGCAGUGUGCUCUGGGGAUGCCUAUGCCCACUUUCCCAGCACUGGGACAACCAGCUCACACCAAGACGACUAAUGGUUUUCUAGAUUUAUUAUUUGUUUAUUAAUUUAUUUAUUAUGUAUACAAUGAUCUGCUUACAUGUGUGCCUGCAAGCUAGAAGAGGGCAUCAGAUCCCAUUACAGAUGGUUGUGAGCUACCAUGUGGUUGCUGGGAAUUGAACUCAGUACCUCUGGAAGAACAAACAGUACUCUUAACCUCUGUGCCACCUCUCCAGCCCUUUUUUUUUUUAAGAUUGUAGGGAUCAAUUCGAACCUUCAUGUUUGUGGCGAGCACUUUACAACAAUUUUAUUUUUAAACCUUGAGACACGGUUAUAUCAGGCUGACCUGAACUCAUUUUGUAGCUUAGGCAGGUCUUAAACUUUGGAUCCUUUGCCUCAGCCUUCUAAGCAGCUGGGAUUAAAGCCUGGCAGGCCCAGCCUUACCUCAGUAAUUUUUAAUGUAUUUUUCUGGAAAAACCCUGAGAAUCACAGUAUUUGCUAAAAGGCAUCCCCAAGUUUGAGACUCAAGAUCUCAUGUGCAAUCCAGACACUGACCUGCAGGUUGGAGAGUUGUGUGAAAGCCUUCUCGCAGCCCGGGUGUGCACAUUUGUAUGGUCUAUCGCCAGUGUGGAUUCUACAGAGGACGAGAAGAGGCAGAGCAUGCACGUAAGCAAGGUCACUUAGGAGACGAGCUCCGUACAAGAUCUCAGGUUCUUCAGGUUGCCUCCAAGAAAGCUGCUCAGACGCAUGUGCAGGAGGCGCUAGCUCAAGCCCCCCUUUGCCCUGGGAUGGUUUGUGAUGCCUCAUCUCUGCUCACUGCCUACAGCACUCAGCUCAAGGAUUCUGCUGCGAGAAGAAGGACUGAGGACUCAGUCACCAGGUCACAGGCAGGGCAUGAUUUGACAUACAAAUUUGCAUUCAGAAACAAGGUAAAUACAAUUAUAAGAAAGAAGAAUAGACAACACUUCCUCCUUGGUCUCUAGCCUAUAGGCAGAAACUGUCCCCUCAGCCUUGAGCGUCCUAUCCAGAGACAGUCCUGUUACAAUGACUGUUGAAAGAAGCAGUGACUUUAGUGGAAACUCGUGGAAAUCCCUGGGGAGAUUCCCUCCAGUCUAAGCUGUUAAUGACAGGAAAUCCUGAGGUUGGAACCAAGCUCUCCUCUUCCCAACACCAUAAGGCACUCUAUCUACUACGAUGCGCCAAGACAUGAGGAUGCACCAACACCUGCUCCUUUUUAGGGCUUCAGACCAUCUCUGUGAUCAAGGCCUCAAAUACACGAAGACAGCAAACUCCACGUCUGACCAUUUUCAGGUGAGAACAUCACAUCCACAGGAAGCAGGGUGAGAUGGCCAAUUGCCAAGUCUGGACUUCAUCUUGAUAGAUCACCAAAGGAAAAGGAAACCAUCAGCUCUUUGGUCCCAAGCUGUCAGACUGCCUUCUCCCUAGUAACUCCACAUUGAGAUGAAAUGCAAACAAGCAUCCUGCUUAUGAAGUAAGAGCUUUUCGUUUGUUUCCACUCCUCUGUGAAUGUUCAGUUCAUGUCUCCUCCUGUGCUCUUCUCUUGGCAUCCCUUGAAAUCAACCUUGCUUCUUGCUGUGAGUGUAUCCAGGCUGGUGCCAGCUUCAUCUGAUUACGUCUCCCGAUUCUAACUGUGCCCUGAGGCACCAGAGCAGAAAUCUGGUAAGACGUGUGCUUGGUAUUUCCAGGGAGGAAAGCGAAGGAAAGAGUCCUCUUUGCUCCAAGUUUGCCUCUGUCUUUAAUCAAUCAGGAAAGUACCACACAAUCACUGUGUCUUUUCAAUACAGUUUGUGCUCCAGAAAGACUCUUGGCUUCCACUUCUUUUCUCUGUUGCCAGUCAUAUUCUCCUCCAGCCAGGUCUCACCUCCAGCCAGGUCUCUCCCCCGCCCCCCCGCAUGCGGGUGGUUGUGUGUCUCCGGGGCGGGGGUGGGGAGGGCAUGCCAGCGGGGCGGGAUCAAUAGCCCGCCCCUCUCCCUUACCGUGUGUGCUGCUGGAGGUGGGAGAGCUGGCGGAAGGCCUUCUGGCAGUAGGAACAGUUGUAGGGCUUGGCCCCCGAGUGGAUACGGAGGUGCUGGGCCAGGUAGGAGGUGUUGGCGAAGGUCUUGGAGCAGUGCGGGCACUUGUGGGGCUUGAUGGUCUCCGUGUGCAUCUUGGAGUGAAUCCUGCCGGAGAGGAGAGGAGGGAAGGGGGGGAGGGAGGAGGAAGCAGUUCGACACCAUGGGCUCAGCUCUCUGCUGGGUGAAAUGAUGUUGCUUGACGGAUGAGAGCACCCCCUCCUCCCUCCUCCCAAUAAAGCUCCGGCUGCAGAGGCUAAUGGAGGACACCCAUGCCUAGGUUGUUGCUGAUUGCAAGUCGGUUGCUAGAAUGGCAGUGAGAUGAUGAAGACUGCAACCCAUGGCUCUCGGUAACCUUACGGCACUCAGUCUUGUCAACCCUCGCUCGUUCAGCCUUUUCCUAAGGUUAUACACUCACCACAGUUACCCUGUUUCCAAAAAGCAAUUUGAACAUAGGCCAAUACCGCCUGUUCCCCAUGGACCUGAAGUUGAGUGCACACCAUGGCUCUGAACUGAAGCAUAUAGUAAAAGCAGGGUCUGCUCUGUAGAAGAUUUCCAAACAGACACAGAAAGAAACCACAAAAGUUGUUCCAGAACUGGGGAUUGGAAAUCACAAUUUUCAAGGCCCCCCACACUGCUAGGUUACACAGUUUAAUUUUCAGAUAGUAACAAAAGAGUAAGAUUUCAAAAGGCAAAGGAGAGAAUGGUUGGCACAGGCCACACGGCCUUGAAGGUUUUGUACCUAGGUAGGGAGGGGUAAAAGCAGCCUUACCGGGUGUGCUGCUGCAGGUGUGAGAGCUGACGGAAGGAUUUCUCACAAAAGUUACAACUAUAGGGCUUGGCCCCUGAAUGGAUACGGAUGUGCUGGGCCAGGUAGGAGCUGUUGGCGAAGGUCUUGGAGCAGUGUGGGCACUUGUGGGGCUUGGUCUCGGUGUGUGACUUGGAGUGGAUCUGCAUCUCCGACUUUGAGUAGAAGGUCAGUGAGCACAUCCGGCACCUGGCCAAGCAAGGGCAACAUUAGAGCUUCCACUAGGAGGUGCUGCCUGCUGAGCCUCACAGCCCUGCCAAGAGACACCCACCUAACAUCCCAUCUCCUGUUCCAACCACACAGUGAGGCUUCUAGACGCUUUCUCUUUUCUUUUUAAAGAAAGGGUCUCAUGUAGUUCAAGCUGGCCUUGAACUCAUGAGACUCUUGUUCUUACCUCCCAACUGCUGGGACUGUAAUAGCUAUGUGCCACCAAGCCCAGCUUCUCACUUCUCUUUACUGCCUAAGCUGACACAGUGCCCAGGACUCAGAAAUACCCAAUCAGUGCUGUGGUAAAUGACUGGAUACCCUAAGUAUACACAAUUUAGCAUUGGACUUGGGUAAGGCAGGAAAAUAUAAGCUGAGUGAAUACAGAUCAGAGGUUCUUGACCUUCCUAAUGCUGUGACCCUUUAAUACACUCUCUCGUGUCGUGAUGAUCCCAACCACAAAAUUAUUUCAUUGCCACUUCAUAACUGUAACUUUGCUACUGUAAUGAAUCAUAAUGUAACCAUCUGUUUUCUGAUGGCCUCAGGGGACCCCUGUGAAAGGGUUGUUUGACCUCCAAAGGGGAUGUGACCCAAAGGUUGAGAACCUCUGAUAAAGACUUUAUUAGGCCAGGUAAGUGUUCAAACUUGUUUCUCCGUGUUUAUCUAUUUGUCCCUUAGUGUUCAGGUCUCCAUGCAAUGAGGAAGAAAAGCUGGCUAGAUGAGCGCUCCCACCUCUACAUAACAGUCUUCAAUGAUUUCCCCUACUUCCUUUUCAGAGUGACUGCUAAAGAGAUGGAGACAGAAAGUACCAGAAUUACUUGGAGGGGCUUUCCCAACCCUUAUCUGGUCUCUACGUAGCUGACAUUCCACUAAUCAUUUGCCCUUGCCUCUCGUCUCAAGCCAAUCAAAUGAAGACCACUUUUGAAACAGGCCAAGGAAGCCAGCACUGGCUCUCCUAGAUGACGCCCACAGCACCUGAAUACAUGUACUGGUCACCUGAACCAGUGGAUCCUUCCUGCUCUGAAGCUAUCCAACAAUAUCAAAUAAGGAGGUCUCUCCCCAAAUUAAGCCAUCUUUGUAAACUGGGCAUCAAAGGGGAUGGGAUGAUUCUUGUGUUCUUCUCAUUUCAGAAUUUUUGAGAUCAGCUAAGACCAAGACAACAAGUUCCCUCUGAGAAAACAGUAUCAUUUGCUCUCAUCUCUGUAUUAAUCCGUUCACUAAAAUCACAGUAACUUGAUAACCAA
Non-coding RNA from Rattus norvegicus (Norway rat), 6856 nucleotides. NCBI's taxonomy places the organism in Eukaryota, Metazoa, Chordata, Mammalia, Rodentia, Muridae. The record is from RefSeq and is a predicted model, not a curated record.